Molecule: transfer RNA, 85 nt
Filed under: Pseudomonas delhiensis
Lineage: Bacteria; Pseudomonadati; Pseudomonadota; Gammaproteobacteria; Pseudomonadales; Pseudomonadaceae
Description: tRNA_Ser_TGA
Rfam family: tRNA
About the family: Transfer RNA (tRNA) molecules are approximately 80 nucleotides in length. Their secondary structure includes four short double-helical elements and three loops (D, anti-codon, and T loops). Further hydrogen bonds mediate the characteristic L-shaped molecular structure. tRNAs have two regions of fundamental functional importance: the anti-codon, which is responsible for specific mRNA codon recognition, and the 3' end, to which the tRNAs corresponding amino acid is attached (by aminoacyl-tRNA synthetases). tRNAs cope with the degeneracy of the genetic code in two manners: having more than one tRNA (with a specific anti-codon) for a particular amino acid; and 'wobble' base-pairing, i.e. permitting non-standard base-pairing at the 3rd anti-codon position.
Source: RNAcentral
GGAAGUGUGGCCGAGUGGUUUAAGGCAGCGGUCUUGAAAACCGCCGGGUGUAACAGCCCCGUGAGUUCGAAUCUCACCGCUUCCG